This 433-nucleotide ribosomal RNA is filed under the name uncultured bacterium. RNAcentral's name for it is "partial 16S ribosomal RNA". It matches the Rfam family "Bacterial small subunit ribosomal RNA", at positions 29 to 507 of the family's 1533-position model. The record is from RNAcentral.
AACGAACGCUGGCGGCAUGCCUAACACAUGCAAGUCGAACGAAGGCUUCGGCCUUAGUGGCGCACGGGUGCGUAACGCGUGGGAAGCUGCCCUUUGCUUCGGAAUAACAGUUAGAAAUGACUGCUAAUACCGGAUGAUGUCGCAAGACCAAAGAUUUAUCGGCAAAGGAUGAGCCCGCGUAGGAUUAGCUAGUUGGUGGGGUAAAGGCCUACCAAGGCGACGAUCCUUAGCUGGUCUGAGAGGAUGAUCAGCCACACUGGGACUGAGACACGGCCCAGACUCCUACGGGAGGCAGCAGUGGGGAAUAUUGGACAAUGGGCGAAAGCCUGAUCCAGCAAUGCCGCGUGAGUGAUGAAGGCCUUAGGGUUGUAAAGCUCUUUUACCCGGGAUGAUAAUGACAGUACCGGGAGAAUAAGCUCCGGCUAACUCCGUG